RNAcentral lists this transfer RNA (77 nucleotides) under Brachybacterium sp. RNAcentral's name for it is "tRNA-Met". It matches the Rfam family "tRNA". Rfam says of the family: Transfer RNA (tRNA) molecules are approximately 80 nucleotides in length. The record is from RNAcentral. Lineage: Bacteria; Bacillati; Actinomycetota; Actinomycetes; Micrococcales; Dermabacteraceae.
GCCGGGGUAGCUCAGACGGUUAGAGCGCACGACUCAUAAUCGUGAGGUCGCGGGUUCGAUCCCCCCCCUCGGUACCA